UUGCGGCCUCAAAAGAAAACCCUAACUCUCACAACUAUCCACCCGACCCAACACUCCUACAGCCUUAACACCGUCGCCAUCCACCGUCCAGCGCCUUCGCUUUGGUUUUGAUAGCGGACGCUGCAGAUCUCACAUUGAUCUCAUAUGAUAUCUAUUGAACAGGUCUAAAUCGAACCGUCGCAUUGUAUUCAACCAAAUCUGCAUUGAUUCAUUACCAGAUCUGCUUAAAUUCACAACCUUGCAUGGCGUUUGAUUUCUUUAUACAAGUUGGUGGAACUUUCAUGAUGUGUUCUUGAUGCUUUAGUAUUUCAAACUAACUUUCGCCUCCCCCUCCAGCCUCCCUCCCCAGGAAGUUGAGGCUAUGACCCUUUAGACUUAUAGAGAACGCAAAAACACAAAGAUUUGGUUGAUCAAGGCGAUAAAUGGUUAAAAGAUAUGGUUAUCCAUCAUAUGACCUUUCUUUUUUUGAUGUCGUGCGCUUCGAUUGUCAUCUUCUCAUCUAUCAACACAUCUCGUUUUCUAAUGUGAUUUCAUACAAACUCAUCUAUCAAUACAACCCUAGCGGCAGAUAUGUGGUUAAUGAACUUUAGAACUUCAAAGACGGUCGGAAAACUACAUUAAAGGAAGUUAUUAGCUACAUCUUGAAGAAUAUGAAGAAGCGCAAAAGGCUAAAGUUUGUAUGCUGCCAUUUUAUCAUCAUUUAAAUCGACUUGCAUAGUAAUUUUUUCUAGGAGUUCAUUUUAUUUGUAUGCACUCUGAAUAUCUAGACUUGUACAUAUGUGUGCCCUCACUCACAAUCUCACAUGGAGAUGGCAAUUUUAUUCCAUGUAGUUUGUAAAGGGGUUAUAUGGAGUC
Molecule: long non-coding RNA, 855 nt
Organism: Helianthus annuus (common sunflower)
Lineage: Eukaryota; Viridiplantae; Streptophyta; Magnoliopsida; Asterales; Asteraceae
Exons: 3
Source: RefSeq, a predicted model, not a curated record